RNAcentral lists this ribosomal RNA (253 nucleotides) under uncultured bacterium. RNAcentral's name for it is "partial 16S ribosomal RNA". It matches the Rfam family "Bacterial small subunit ribosomal RNA", at positions 524 to 776 of the family's 1533-position model. The record is from RNAcentral.
UACGUAGGGUGCGAGCGUUGUCCGGAAUUAUUGGGCGUAAAGAGCUCGUAGGCGGCUUGUCGCGUCGGAUGUGAAAGCCCGGGGCUUAACUCCGGGUCUGCAUUCGAUACGGGCAGGCUAGAGUUCGGUAGGGGAGAUCGGAAUUCCUGGUGUAGCAGUGAAAUGCGUAGAUAUCAGAAGGAACAUCAGUGGCGAAGGCGGCUUCCUGGACCAAUACUGACGAUCAGGUGCGAAAGCGUGGGGAGCAAACAGG